RNAcentral lists this ribosomal RNA (245 nucleotides) under uncultured Oscillospiraceae bacterium. RNAcentral describes it as "partial 16S ribosomal RNA". It matches the Rfam family "Bacterial small subunit ribosomal RNA", at positions 524 to 768 of the family's 1533-position model. The record is from RNAcentral. Lineage: Bacteria; Bacillati; Bacillota; Clostridia; Eubacteriales; Oscillospiraceae.
UACGUAGGUGGCAAGCGUUGUCCGGAAUAACUGGGUGUAAAGGGCGAGUAGGUGGGACAUUAAGUCAGAUGUGAAAUUUGGGGGCUCAACUCCUAAGCUGCAUCUGAAACUAAAGUUCUUGAGUGCUGGAGAGGGAAGCGGAAUUCCUAGUGUAGCGGUGAAAUGCGUAGAUAUUAGGAGGAACACCAGUGGCGAAGGCGGCUUUCUGGACAGUAACUGACACUGAGGCGCGAAAGCGUGGGGAG